Octopus bimaculoides (California two-spot octopus) is the source of this 487-nucleotide long non-coding RNA. RefSeq lists it as uncharacterized. The record is from RefSeq and is a predicted model, not a curated record. NCBI's taxonomy places the organism in Eukaryota, Metazoa, Mollusca, Cephalopoda, Octopoda, Octopodidae.
AUUAGUUGUAUCCAGUUCAGUCUGGUUGUAUCCAGUUCAAUCCAGUCAUCUAUGCAUCCUGGACAAGUAACUUUUCUCUAGCCUCAAGUUGAUAAAUGCCUUCUAAGUGGAACUCUGUAAACAGGACUUUAUGAAACCCCAUCGAGCAUGACUGACUGCAAAUACUCUUACAGGAUACGUUUGACAGCAGAGGAUGACAAAGGCAAACCAGUUCUUUAUUGAACAAAGAGAGCUUUAUGGAUGUUCCAUUAGGCCUAUAGCAAACAAAUGACAACAGAGUGCCAAACAGAAAAACAAAGAAAUCAACAUUUUCAGUGCCUGCUUCUCUUCACUUCCAGUCAUGGUUCCAAAGUAGCCAAACCCACUUGAGACAUUUGUACUGUAUAUGGAGAAGCACUAAUACUCAAAGAACUGUAUAGAGAUGUUGUGUCUGGGGAGAGUCAUUCUCUUUGAGUGCCUUCUAAUUUAACACACUCUCCGAUAAAAU